Molecule: transfer RNA, 72 nt
Filed under: Camelus ferus (Wild Bactrian camel)
Lineage: Eukaryota; Metazoa; Chordata; Mammalia; Artiodactyla; Camelidae
Rfam family: tRNA
About the family: Transfer RNA (tRNA) molecules are approximately 80 nucleotides in length. Their secondary structure includes four short double-helical elements and three loops (D, anti-codon, and T loops).
Source: Rfam by way of RNAcentral
GAGGGUAUAGCUCAGUGGUAGAGUGCGAGCUUAGCAUACACUAUGUCUUGGGUUCAAUUCCCAAUUCCUCCA